GACGAACGCUGGCGGCGUGCUUAACACAUGCAAGUCGAACGGAAAGGCCCUGCUUGUGUGUGGUGCUCGAGUGGCGAACGUGUGAGUUACACGUGAGUAACCUGCCCUGGACGUUGUGAUAACUUCAGGAAACUGGUGCUAAUACCGGAUAGCAGCUCCUGCUGCAUGGUGGGGGUCGGAAAGUUUCGGCGGUUGGGGAUGGACUCGCGGUUUAUGAGCUUGUGGGGUGGGUAGUUGCUUACCAAGGCUUCGACGGCUGGCCGGCCUGAGAGGGGGAACGGCCACAUUGGGACUGCGAUACGGACCAGACUCGUACGGGAGGCAGCAGUGGGGAAUAUUGUACAAUGGGCGGAAGCCUGAUGCAGCAACGCCGCGUGCGGGAUGACGGCCUUGGGGUUGUAAACCGCAUUCGCCUGUGACGAAGCGUGAGUGACGGUAAUGGGUAAAGAAGCACCGGCUAACUACGUG
Molecule: ribosomal RNA, 468 nt
Filed under: uncultured bacterium
Lineage: Bacteria
Description: partial 16S ribosomal RNA
Rfam family: Bacterial small subunit ribosomal RNA
Source: RNAcentral